RNAcentral lists this unclassified non-coding RNA (458 nucleotides) under Hevea brasiliensis (rubber tree). The record is from RNAcentral. Lineage: Eukaryota; Viridiplantae; Streptophyta; Magnoliopsida; Malpighiales; Euphorbiaceae.
UUCGAGAGGAGAAGGUGGACGGGAAUGGGGAGGGGACUCCAUUGCCGAUGGAGAAGAUGGAAGAGAUAAGGGGAAAAGAAGAAAAUCGAAGAAGAAUGAGAAUUAGGGCAAAUGUAGUGAAAAUCGAAAUGGAGGAGAAGGUGUGAGAAGGAGUUAUGCCGGAAUGAGGAUUGUGAGAGAGGAAGGUAAGUGAACAGGGUUUAUCGGGUUGAAGGUGGGAAAGAAAAAGGAAAAAAUUUUGAUUUAAAUGAGUUAUGUAAAAGACUGCAUAAGUGAAAAAUGAUUUAUGCAUAACCUAUGCACUGUUCGGCAGGUAUUGAAAUCUUAGGUUAGUGGUCAUGCAGUUGUGCAUGAGUCAUGCACCUUCCUUAUGCAAGUUUCGGUGACCCUUGAAAUUUUGAGGAGUGAAGUCAUGCGGGAGUGCAUAAGUUAUGCACUCCCCUUAUGCAUCUCUCGGC